AAUCAACGCUGGCGGCGUGCCUAACACAUGCAAGUCGAACGCGAAAGCCCCGCAAGGGGUAAGUAGAGUGGCAAACGGGUGAGUAACACGUGGGUGACCUGCCUUCGAGUGGGGGAUAACGUCCCGAAAGGGACGCUAAUACCGCACGACAUCCUGCUCUUGGACGAGCGGAGAUCAAAGCUGGGGAUCGCAAGACCUGGCGCUUGAAGAGGGGCCCGCGCCUGAUUAGCUAGNGGUGAGGUAACGGCUCACCAAGGCAACGAUCAGUAUCCGGCCUGAGAGGCGGACGGACACACUGGGACUGAGACACGGCCCAGACUCCUACGGGAGGCAGCAGUGGGGAAUUGUUCGCAAUGGGCGCAAGCCUGACGACGCAACGCCGCGUGGAGGAUGAAG
This 396-nucleotide ribosomal RNA is filed under the name uncultured bacterium. RNAcentral describes it as "bacterial SSU rRNA". It matches the Rfam family "Bacterial small subunit ribosomal RNA", at positions 29 to 413 of the family's 1533-position model. The record is from RNAcentral.